GUCCUUUUGAUUUUUAUUUAAGGUCUAGUCUGCCCACUGAAUUUGAAUUUUAAAUGGCCGCAGUAUUUUGACUGUGCAAAGGUAGCAUAAUCAUUAGUUUUUUAAUUAAAAGCUUGUAUGAAAGGCUGGACGAGGUAAGAGCUGUCUCUAUAUAAAUUAUAUUAGAAUUUAACUUUUAAGUCAAAAGGCUUAAAUAUUAUUAAAAGACGAGAAGACCCUAUAGAGCUUUAUAAUUUAUUUAAUAAAAUUAAUUUAGAAUUAUUUGUGUUUUAUUUUAUGAAAUUAUUUUAUUGGGGUAAUAGGGAGAUUGAAUUAAUUCUCUUUUUUUAUAAACAUUGAUUUAUGAAUAUGAAAUGAUCCAAUUUUAUUGAUUAUAAGAUUAAGUUACCUUAGGGAUAACAGCGUAAUUUUUUUAGAGAGUUCAUAUCGAUAAGAAAGUUUGCGACCUCGAUGUUGGAUUAAAGAUUAUUUUAGGUGUAGAAGCUUAAUAAAUUUGGUCUGUUCGACCAUUAAAUCUUUAC
RNAcentral lists this ribosomal RNA (521 nucleotides) under Carabus cenwangensis cenwangensis. RNAcentral's name for it is "partial 16S ribosomal RNA". It matches the Rfam family "Bacterial large subunit ribosomal RNA", at positions 1819 to 2599 of the family's 2925-position model. The record is from RNAcentral. Lineage: Eukaryota; Metazoa; Arthropoda; Insecta; Coleoptera; Carabidae.